Molecule: ribosomal RNA, 537 nt
Filed under: uncultured bacterium
Lineage: Bacteria
Description: bacterial SSU rRNA
Rfam family: Bacterial small subunit ribosomal RNA
Source: RNAcentral
UGGGGAAUAUUGCGCAAUGGGCGAAAGCCUGACGCAGCAACACCGCGUGAGGGAUGACGGCCUUCGGGUUGUAAACCUCUUUCAGCUCCGACGAAGCGAAAGUGACGGUAGGAGCAGAAGAAGCACCGGCUAACUACGUGCCAGCAGCCGCGGUAAUACGUAGGGUGCAAGCGUUGUCCGGAAUUAUUGGGCGUAAAGAGCUCGUAGGCGGUCCGUUGCGUCUGCCGUGAAAACCCGGAGCUCAACUCCGGGCCUGCGGUGGAUACGGGCGGACUAGAGUCCGGUAGGGGAGACUGGAAUUCCUGGUGUAGCGGUGGAAUGCGCAGAUAUCAGGAGGAACACCGGUGGCGAAGGCGGGUCUCUGGGCCGGAACUGACGCUGAGGAGCGAAAGCGUGGGGAGCGAACAGGAUUAGAUACCCUGGUAGUCCACGGCCGUAAACGGUGGGCGCUAGGUGUGGGAUCGUUUCCACGAUCUCCGUGCCGUAGCUAACGCAUUAAGCGCCCCGCCUGGGGAGUACGGCCGCAAGGCUAAAACU